GCGGAUGUGGCUUGUUUCUCUUCUCCAUCAACAUCUCCAUUUUAAGAGACAGCUGCUCACAGCUGCUUGUCCUUCUAGUUACCAAGGCAGCCAUGGGAAGAAUAGAUAGCAAAGCAACGACAAACAUGGUUCCAGGCUCUUCAGUGACACCUCCAGGGACUAGCAAGAUACUUGGAACAAGCAAUCAGAAAUUCAUGGACAUAACUCCAAUUUUUGUUAUAGAUAUCCUGGAGGCCCCAAGACAAUAAAGGCUAUCACCGUUACUCUUGAAUUCUCACCAGAAUUUCAUGGUGCUACCAUACUUUCAAGAGCAUGACUCAUCUUCUGAGUUUCCUAGCUUCUGGAAUCAUCACUGUCUUCAGAACAGCAGCCUCCCAUGCUAUCGUGCCUCCUGGGGAUCCCGGCUCUUGUUGGAUAUUGAUCACAUGAUUCUGUAUUUGCAAGUUAUGGAGCCCAGUUUCCAAGAAACCUUCACUCCUUGGAAAUAAAUCAAGACAUUUCUGAUUGCUUAUGCUUCUAGCUAUCCAUUCAAAACACCGGUCACUAUAUUAUCCUGAUAAGCUACUUCAUAGUUUCCAAUAUUUCUGUUGACCUAAAUAUAUAUUAAUGCAGAACACUG
This 619-nucleotide long non-coding RNA is filed under the name Rattus norvegicus (Norway rat). RNAcentral describes it as "long non-coding RNA NONRATT013470". The record is from RNAcentral. Lineage: Eukaryota; Metazoa; Chordata; Mammalia; Rodentia; Muridae.